UAGGUUUUGAUUAGGAUUUGAUUUAGGUUUUAGGAUUAUUCUAAGAUUUUAUUAAGGUUUCAGGAUUUAUUUUGGACUUAGGAUUUAUCUAAGGUUUGAUUUAGGAUUUAGAUUUUGUUUAGGAUUUAAUUUAGAAUUUAGGAUUUUUUUAGGAUUUGAUUUAGGAUUUAGGAUUUGUUUAAAACUUAGGAUUUGUCUAAGGUUUGGUUUAAGGUUUAGAAUUUUUUUUGGAAUUUGGUUUAAGAUUUAAAAUUUGUCUAAGAUUUGGUUUACAAUCUAGGAUUUGUUUAAGGCUUAGGAUUUAUCUAAGGUUUGAUUUAGGAUUUAGGAUUUAAGAUUUAUCUAAGAUUUGAUAUAAGAUUUAGAUUUUAGUUAGGAUUUGACAUAGGAUUUAAUUAAGAUCCAUUAUAGUUUUAAUUAGGAUUAAAGUAGGAAUUGAUUAAAAUUUAUUUAAGAUUUAUUUAAUAUUUUUCUAAUAUUUCUUGUGGAUUUCUUUUGGAUUUCUUUAAGAUUUCUUUAAGGUCUAUUUAUUAUUUUUUUAUGAUUUCUUUAUAAUUUUUGUAGAAGUUUUUAAAGAUUUCUUCAUGUUUCUUUUGUAAUUUUUUU
RNAcentral lists this long non-coding RNA (606 nucleotides) under Physcomitrium patens. Its description in RNAcentral is "long non-coding RNA (PPAT_LNC005377)". Lineage: Eukaryota; Viridiplantae; Streptophyta; Bryopsida; Funariales; Funariaceae. The record is from RNAcentral.